CCUACGGGAGGCAGCAGUGAGGAAUAUUGGUCAAUGGACGAGAGUCUGAACCAGCCAAGUAGCGUGAAGGAUGACUGCCCUAGGGGUUGUAAACUUCUUUUAUAGGGGAAUAAAAUGUUCCACGUGUGGGAUUUUGUAUGUACCAUAUGAAUAAGGAUCGGCUAACUCCGUGCCAGCAGCCGCGGUAAUACGGAGGAUCCGAGCGUUAUCCGGAUUUAUUGGGUUUAAAGGGAGCGUAGGUGGAUUGUUAAGUCAGUUGUGAAAGUUUGCGGCUCAACCGUAAAAUUGCAGUUGAAACUGGCAGUCUUGAGUACAGUAGAGGUGGGCGGAAUUCGUGGUGUAGCGGUGAAAUGCUUAGAUAUCACGAAGAACUCCGAUUGCGAAGGCAGUUCACUGGACUGCAACUGACACUGAGGCUCGAAAGUGUGGGUAUCAAACAGGAUUAGAUACCCUUGUAGUC
Molecule: ribosomal RNA, 460 nt
Filed under: uncultured bacterium
Lineage: Bacteria
Description: partial 16S ribosomal RNA
Rfam family: Bacterial small subunit ribosomal RNA
Source: RNAcentral